Molecule: RNA transcript, 1926 nt
Organism: Xenia sp. Carnegie-2017
Lineage: Eukaryota; Metazoa; Cnidaria; Anthozoa; Malacalcyonacea; Xeniidae
Exons: 6
Source: RefSeq, a predicted model, not a curated record
CACGUGAAACUCAUGACCGGCACAAGCACAAAACUGACACAACACUUAGCACAUGACAAGUUCUUGAAUAAAGAUAGAAUUUUCGUGUUGAAAAUACAAAGGCAGAUCGCUUAAAAAACACAGCAAACACGUAAAGCUAUCAUAACUAAAAGGAAUUCUGCUGAUUCAAGAUGUCAGUGAACGAGGAAAAGAAGAAGUUGAGUUUUGGUUGCUUCAAAGUAAAUCUAACAAUAGCUAAUCUAUUUUUCGCGUUAUUGGGAAUCAUAAGUCGCGUUGGAAUAAAUGUUGCUCUUCCAUUAUGGAUUGAUUCGCAAAAAUCUGAAGAGAAAACAACACAAUCAAACAGCACUUGUUCAAACAGCACUGGCUCAAACCAUACGAACACAUAUACACCGAAAAUUGGUCCCUAUUUUAUUAUAUCGUUCCUUGGAAUAAUGCUUACUCUACUAAACGGCAUAGCUCUUGCUGUUUACCGCUUAUUUCACGCAAAUGCAUUCGGAGAAACUGAAAAAAGUUUCCCAAAAUCCCAAUUGUUUUUUGUUGCUUUGCUACUUUCGAUGAACGAAAUAUUUAUAGGAUUUUCGUCGAGUCACGAAAGAACCCCAUUAUCUUUGCAAUCAAUUCUCGCAAAUACGACAAUUCCAAUGGUUAUAAUAAUGCGAUACUUUAUUUUACGCAAACAGCCAACACGUCGAAAGCUUGUGUGUGCAACAGUGAUAUCAAUUUGCUUGUUUUUCUGUUUCAUUCCCUCGAUUUUUCCAUCAAUUGGCGACAAGAGAGAUAAUAAUGUCACUAACGGGACGGAGAGUAUCAAAUGGUCUCUGGUUUUCAUGGCUGGCAGUGUUCCAGCAGCAGCAAGUAUGGUAUACGGAGAGAAGAUUUUGAAGACGGAAACGAGUUCAGAAAAACGUGAACUGAAUGUUAUGUAUUUUGUUUUCAUGGUGAGAGUUUACGUGUUCGUAAUCGUGACAUGCCUCUUCUUCGUCGAUAUCAUACCAGGUUUUGGUUAUGCACAAAGCAUAAGUCAACUUUUUGAAAAUUGGUUUUAUGGUUUUCAAUGUUUCUUCGGUGGAGCUGGUUGUGAUCGAAUCUUCGGUUUUUACGGCACAUUAUGCCUUUGCAUGAUGAUCACAAAUUAUAUAGCUAUGUCAAACUUAACACGAUAUUCUGAAGGUGCAACACUAGUUGCUCUUGUUUCGACUGUCAGUACUCCAUUGGGUGUUUUUGACAGAUUUCUGUCUAUCAAAAACCACAAACGAAAUGAAAACUUCCAUUAUUGUUCUACAAAUCUAGACUGUCAGUACUCCAUUGGGUUUUCUCUUCUGGACAAUUUUCAGUGAACCCCCGUUUAAAUUCAAUCCGGUUUGGCAUAACGCAGUACUGUUCCCACUUUUCGGAGUUUUACCCAUGAUUCCAGCAAUCUACUUCUACAAGACAGGAAACCAAGAAAAAGUCGUGGAAAAAAAACGUGAAAAAGAGGAAAGUCAAGCUCUAAUGGAAGGAAAUCAUCAUUCCAUAAACAAAUACGUGUAAAAUGUGUUUGUUAUUAUCAAUAAUUCGAGGGGGGAAACGCAAUACACGAGAAACAUAUAACUUAGAAUAAAUCGAUUGGAAUUGGGACGUGCUGCAGCUACAAUAUAACAUGAUUUUAAUUAAUCAGAGAAAGAGAAAGACAAAUGCCUUACUUUUGGCAAUCAAGUGCAAACUUUUAAAAUAGUAUGUUCGUUAUGUUACAGACUAUUAUUUUAUUUAAAUAUAUGGAAAAACAUGUCCAUAAAUUGCAUAGAAAAUAUAUAAAUUCAUGAAAUACAGAUGUAUAAUCUGGUUCAGUAUUUCGAGUUGCCGUAUUUGUUUUGAUAUUUCGAUUAAUCUAAAUAUCCAGUAGACAUAGCAAUCAAUAAAUCUGUUCAGAUGUAUUUAUCCGCA